This 279-nucleotide ribosomal RNA is filed under the name uncultured bacterium. RNAcentral's name for it is "partial 16S ribosomal RNA". It matches the Rfam family "Bacterial small subunit ribosomal RNA", at positions 506 to 784 of the family's 1533-position model. The record is from RNAcentral.
UGCCAGCCGCCGCGGUAAGACAGAGGGUGCAAGCGUUGUUCGGAAUUAUUGGGCGUAAAGCGCGCGUAGGCGGUUUUGUAAGUCGGGUGUGAAAUCCCGGGGCUCAACCCCGGAAGUGCAUUCGAAACUGCAUCACUUGAGUCUCGGAGAGGGUGGUGGAAUUCCUGGUGUAGAGGUGAAAUUCGUAGAUAUCAGGAGGAACACCGGUGGCGAAGGCGACCACCUGGACGAUGACUGACGCUGAGGCGCGAAAGCGUGGGGAGCAAACAGGAUUAGAUA